AUUUUCUGAUUUCAGUUUAGUUUUCCUUAGUUUGUAAAGAUAUUUAGGUGUUUCUCAGGAUUCCCCUCACUUUUGAAACUAGUAGAUUUCUGUUGGUGUAGUUGUUGCUCUCAGCCACCAGCUAACAUUAGUAGUUGGUCAGUAUCGUAGCUGCUGAACUAAAUUUUUAUUCAUCACGUCACCUUGUAGUUUAAAUAUAAACUGAGCCGCAUGUCUGUGUUGAGAUGUAACAGUUAUAUUUUUUAUCUGCAGCCUGAAUGUGAAGACGAGGAAGAAGAUCUGGAUCCCCACAGACUGUUAACAAAAUGACAUCAUGGGUUUCAUGCCUUUCUUCAUGGUCCCACUGUGGACUUUAAUGCUCCGCUUGGGUUCAGUUAAAGGAUCAUUUGUAGUGGAUGUGACACAGAGCUCCUAUCAGGCAGAGGAGAACCACAACAUCACACUGGAGUGGACGUUCACCACCAAACCAGACACAUCCAUCUCAGCACUGAGGAUCCUCUGUAGCCUGAAUAAUGGCCAUAAACACUUAACUCUGUAUUAUCUUCAUGAUGGUGUCGAGUUCUCAGAGGAUCAGGAUGAAAAGUUUUCUGGACGAGUCCAGAGUGACAAAGACGCCCUCAGAGAAGGACGAAUCAGACUCCAGCUGUCCAGACUCAGGACUGAGGACUCGGGUCUGUACCUGUGUGAGGUGGACACAGGUUAUGGCCGCGGCUACAACAGCUGCAGAGUCACCGUCUCUGAUACAGAUUUUGCUAUAAUCUUGACAACAGACAUUUUGCUGCAAACUAAACUUCCUCAGGAAAAGACUCCAACAAACGCAGGUCGAUCGAGGGUCGUUGUCGUCGUUGUCGUCACCUUAUUAUUAGUUCUGACUCUCGUUGGUUUUGCUGCGUAUUUCUCUCACUGCAUUUUUCAGAAACUAAAAGUAAGAAACAAAUAAACAAACACAAACAUGUUGUUGCUUCUUGUUUCGUCAGACUGACUCAUUAUUCUCCUUCUUUCAGCAGAAGCAUCCAGAUGAUGAUGAUGAGACACAAAAACAACCACUAGCAGUCUAGCUCGGUCAAGUUAUAUUCAAACCAGCAUCCACAGGGUGACCCUCGGACCCAGCACCACUGAGAUCAUCAUAAGGUCACUCCUAUAAAAGGAUGUGAGCCUGAUUUGAACUUUGACCCCAGCUGAAGACUCGAGCCUCGUCCAGUUUAUUUAUCGAGCUCAUUUUCACACAAAGAAAGUGUCAAAAAAGAAAACCCAGAGUGGAAGAUCAGAGGAUGUAAACAGGAAAUAUUUCUUACAGAAGUCUUCAGUCAAAGUGGCUGCUGUCAGACUCUGGAGGAUCUGCUUGGAAACAUCAAGCAGUGAAACUGAUGGAUUUCCUCCUUCAAUACAAAACUGUGAAGUUCAGCCUGGAGAAGAAACACUCCUCUCCCUCACUGUCAGCAUGUUUAAUGAAUAUUUAUUUAAUCUUUACCUUACUGGGUUAAAAUCCCCCCAGAUCAUUACUGUGCUGGACUGACAUGAAUCAUUCCCAAACACGGAGUCUUUUCCAUUCAUUUUGCAGUCACUACCGAUGAAAGUGGAUAUUUUCAACACAGUUCAUGUGGAAAGAUCAAAAAAAUAAUUCACCUGAAAAUGUUGGUGACACAGGAGACUGGAAAAGCACCAACAAGUUUUAAAGUAACACAAACAGGAUUUAUGGAGCUCAUAAGGAGAACUCCUUUGUUUUACUGACCUCACUGUAUGAAAACAGACUUUGUUACCACAGCUGAUGAGCUCUGAUUGUUUUUGUUUUCUUUCUAACAUCUUUGAAUGUCUCAGAGGAGCUGAGCUAUAAGCUGAUUACUUUCAACACCUUUCGUUAAUAAUCUGCUGCACUUUAUAAACAUCCCAAAGGAGGCGACUUAUUCUUUAGAUUUGGGGAUUUUCAAAGCUACAAAUAAUUGAGUUUAAUGU
Oreochromis niloticus (Nile tilapia) is the source of this 1953-nucleotide long non-coding RNA. The record is from Ensembl. Lineage: Eukaryota; Metazoa; Chordata; Actinopteri; Cichliformes; Cichlidae.